RNAcentral lists this ribosomal RNA (233 nucleotides) under uncultured bacterium. RNAcentral's name for it is "partial 16S ribosomal RNA". It matches the Rfam family "Bacterial small subunit ribosomal RNA", at positions 103 to 334 of the family's 1533-position model. The record is from RNAcentral.
CGGGUGAGUAACGCGUGAGGAACCUGCCUCAAAGAGGGGGACAACAGUUGGAAACGACUGCUAAUACCGCAUAAGCCCACAGCUCGGCAUCGAGCAGAGGGAAAAGGAGUGAUCCGCUUUGAGAUGGCCUCGCGUCCGAUUAGCUAGUUGGUGAGGUAACGGCCCACCAAGGCGACGAUCGGUAGCCGGACUGAGAGGUUGAACGGCCACAUUGGGUCUGAGACACGGCCCAG